GAUGAAGAACGUAGCGAAAUGCGAUAAGUAAUGUGAAUUGCAGAAUUCAGUGAAUCAUCGAAUCUUUGAACGCACAUUGCGCCCGCCAGUAUUCUGGCGGGCAUGCCUGUUCGAGCGUCAUUUCAACCAUCAAGCCCUGCUUGCGUUGGGGUCCUGCGGCUGCCCGCAGGCCCUGAAAACCAGUGGCGGGCUCGCUAGUCACACCGAGCGCAGUAAUACAUCUCGCUUUGGGCGUGCGGCGGGUUCUUGCCGUUAAACACCCCCUUUUUACCAAGGUUGACCUCGGAUCAGGUAGGAAUACCCACUGAACUUAAGCAUAUCAAUAAGCGGAGGA
RNAcentral lists this unclassified non-coding RNA (334 nucleotides) under soil metagenome. Its description in RNAcentral is "partial contains 5.8S ribosomal RNA, internal transcribed spacer 2, and large subunit ribosomal RNA". The stretch from base 1 to 120 matches the Rfam family "5.8S ribosomal RNA", at positions 35 to 154 of the family's 154-position model. The record is from RNAcentral.